CAGAAAUCACGAAGCAUUUAGGUCCUACAUGUUCAGUUUAAUCACGCCAUUUAACCCGGCUUUAAUCCCUUUAUAUAGACCCCCUCCUACGUACAUUUUCCUCAUCUCUUCUCUCUCUCUCCUAUCACUUGCAAACAUGACCACUUCACUCUCUUUGUUCUUCUUCCUCUUCUCUCUCCUCACCUUAACCACACUCAUUUCCUCUUCCCCACUUCAGGACCCUGAAUUGGUGUCACAAGAGGUGAACAGGUAUAAUGUCACACCACUUCUCCAUAUUAACUAAAUGUACAUUAUAUAUAAUAAAUAUAAUAUUAUGCUAGCUAUUAUAUGCAUUAUGUUAAUGCAAUUCAUUAGGUUCACAUUUUUCAUUUCCUAGCUCAUGUUUCCAAAUUAUACCAACGUGAAUAUUUUUUUGGACUAGCCACAAAUAUUAUCUAAGGGGGUCAAUUUUAUUCUAGCCACAACCACUUCAUAUAUGUUUACUUAUUUUAUUUUUGUGCAGGGAAAUCAAUGCCUCUAUGGCUAGGAGGAACUUGGGGUACCUUUCAUGUGGGACAGGAAACCCCAUUGAUGAUUGUUGGAGGUGUGACCCUAACUGGGAAAAUAACAGGCAAAGGCUAGCAGAUUGUGCAAUUGGGUUUGGCAAAAAUGCAGUGGGUGGAAGGGAUGGUAAGAUAUAUGUGGUCACUGACUCAGGUGAUGAUGACCCUGUGACCCCAAAGCCAGGGACACUUCGUUAUGCUGUGAUUCAAGAUGAGCCAUUAUGGAUCAUAUUUGCAAGGGACAUGGUGAUUAAGCUAAAGGAAGAGCUCAUAAUGAAUUCAUUCAAGACAAUUGAUGGAAGAGGUGCUAGUGUUCACAUUGCUGGUGGUCCAUGCAUUACUAUACAAUAUGUAACAAAUGUUAUAGUCCAUGGGAUUAAUAUACAUGAUUGUAAGCAAGGUGGUAAUGCUAUGGUGAGGGACUCCCCACAGCACUAUGGGUGGAGGACCAUAUCGGAUGGUGAUGGUGUUUCCAUCUUUGGAGGAAGUCACAUAUGGGUAGACCAUUGUUCUUUGUCUAAUUGCAAUGAUGGGUUAAUUGAUGCUAUUCAUGGAUCCACAGCUAUUACAAUAUCCAACAAUUACAUGACACACCAUGACAAAGUCAUGUUAUUGGGUCACAGUGAUACAUAUACUCAAGACAAAAACAUGCAGGUCACAAUAGCUUUCAAUCACUUUGGAGAAGGUCUAGUUCAAAGGAUGCCAAGGUAAAGUUAUGAAGUGAAGUAAAUUAUUGUUUCCUAUUUCCAACUCAUAGCUCAGAGCCUUUAAAAAGUUAAAUAAAAGUGACACUACAAGUUUUCCAAUUCUUACGAUAAUUUGUACAUACACACCAAGAAAAGAAACACAAAAAGGAAAAAGAGGAGUAAAGUGAAAGUGAAAGGGAUGUAUAGAAAUGAAAGCAUGUGCAUGGGGCUGAGUGUGUGUCACUUUGUCAAUACUCUUAAUUACUAUGUGGGACCUCUAGUGCUAAAAUUUGAAAAACAUAUGUGAUUGUUGCAGGUGUAGGCAUGGAUAUUUCCAUGUGGUGAACAAUGACUAUACCCACUGGGAAAUGUAUGCCAUUGGUAUCAACCUAAUUGCUUAACAGCAAGCAUGUGAGAGAGGAAUGAUUUGAUGAAAUAAUCCAUAACAAACAAAAAUCCAUGGGGUGUUAUACACACUUUGGUACUUUUUGGUGUCGGUGUAUGUUCUGAUCGUAUUCUUAUACAGCGUACAUUCCCUUCUUUAAGUGCCUGCUAAUCCUAUCAUGAAUCAUCUUACAUAUAUGCCUUCUGGAAAAACAAUUAUGUGAUGUAAAUUGUUGAAGAAAAUUUGAAAAAGCAACUUAAAGAAAAUAUUCAACUUUGAUUUAAUAUUCAAAUAAAAAAUAUUUAAAUUUACUCUCUUGAUGGUAAGUAUUGUGGAUGGGGUUUAGAUGAAACCUUACUUAGGUCCAGAUAAGUAACUUAUCGUGAUAGAAUGAUGGUAAUAUCGACUUAUCACGACGAAAACCUCUAAUAUUCGAACUCCAGCACAAAGAAUCAGUGAGUUGUCAUUAAAGGUAAGAUUGGCCCCUGUUGGGUUUAUUGAAGUCCCACAUUGGAUAUGCGGGGAGGAAUGAAAGAGUUUAUAAGAGUGAAAGAUCCAUAGAAUUAAUACCUUAAGAUUUUGGUUCAAGACGUGGUGUCUCACUUGGCAGAUUUAUUCUUAAGUAAUUAUUUGGGUAUAACUUUAAGAGUAGCCUAUAUUGUGAUUUUUAAUAACUCUUUUAUCAUUCAAAUUAAUUAAUAAUUUUUCGAGAUGGUCUUUUUUCCGCCUUACAUUGUAUUCUUCAAGAAUGAGCUUCUCCAAUAUGACAAUUAAAAAUGCAGGAUUAUAUGGAUAUCAAGCUCAAGAUUUUCUAAGAUGCCUCCUGAAUUAAUGCAAGAGAUGGACCCAUCGGAGCAAUUAAGUCAAUAUCUUCCACCACGUAACAUUUUAACUUUUCACUCGACCGUUUAUAUAAAACAAAGUCAAAGUAAAAGAAUUUUCUGCCAAGAAAAUGUAUCAAAUGUGAAGAGAACAAAUUUACCUCCUCGGCCUAUAUAUAUAAACUAAUUAAAUUAAUUAACCGCGUGAAGUGCCCAUUACUUCAUUACGUGAUCACUGCAUUAAUGAAGCUUUAUUUUUAGUAGCAAAUUAUUGAGUAGAGUAAGGUUAAUCACAGUGGCCAUUACACAUUCCGUAGUGAUACUGCUAAAUUUGGUUAUUCUCAUCAACGUUUAGUUACAUUUUUUAUGGAUAAGAACGUUUAGGCAUGUUAAUGUGGCAAGAGAAGCAUUUUGUUGAAAACGUCUCCAGAAUGAGUUUUAUAAGUAUAUAUACAUAUCAAUUUAAUUGGAAACUGUAUAAUCAAUUAGGUGGGUAUAUUUGGUAUCACUUAUCACAAACCAUAUAAUAAUUUCUCAUAUCAAGACUUUUGCAUAUUAGGUCCAGAACAAGUUGUAAAAUUUUGUAUGAAAUCUAUAUAAUCACAGUCUAAAAUUUCUGUUUAGCUAAACAAAAUGGUAUACUCAGUUCAAGAAUGAAGUAUAUGUAAGUUGUAGUGAAAAUCAACAUUACUCUGCAGUAAAACAAUAUGUGAAUAAGAUUGUUUGGACUUUGGACCAUCACAGUCAUGAUUUAGGCCUUGCUUAACGGACCAAACUACCCAAUUGGUAUCCCGUGAAACCAGAAAUCACGAAGCAUUUAGGUCCUACAUGUUCAGUUUAAUCACGCCAUUUAACCCGGCUUUAAUCCCUUUAUAUAGACCCCCUCCUACGUACAUUUUCCUCAUCUCUUCUCUCUCUCUCCUAUCACUUGCAAACAUGACCACUUCACUCUCUUUGUUCUUCUUCCUCUUCUCUCUCCUCACCUUAACCACACUCAUUUCCUCUUCCCCACUUCAGGACCCUGAAUUGGUGUCACAAGAGGUGAACAGGUAUAAUGUCACACCACUUCUCCAUAUUAACUAAAUGUACAUUAUAUAUAAUAAAUAUAAUAUUAUGCUAGCUAUUAUAUGCAUUAUGUUAAUGCAAUUCAUUAGGUUCACAUUUUUCAUUUCCUAGCUCAUGUUUCCAAAUUAUACCAACGUGAAUAUUUUUUUGGACUAGCCACAAAUAUUAUCUAAGGGGGUCAAUUUUAUUCUAGCCACAACCACUUCAUAUAUGUUUACUUAUUUUAUUUUUGUGCAGGGAAAUCAAUGCCUCUAUGGCUAGGAGGAACUUGGGGUAC
This 3776-nucleotide long non-coding RNA is filed under the name Lupinus angustifolius (narrow-leaved blue lupine). Its description in RNAcentral is "long non-coding RNA (LANG_LNC002009)". The record is from RNAcentral. Lineage: Eukaryota; Viridiplantae; Streptophyta; Magnoliopsida; Fabales; Fabaceae.